This 434-nucleotide ribosomal RNA is filed under the name uncultured archaeon. RNAcentral's name for it is "bacterial SSU rRNA". It matches the Rfam family "Archaeal small subunit ribosomal RNA", at positions 19 to 458 of the family's 1478-position model. The record is from RNAcentral.
GGACCUGACUGCUAUCGGAUUGAUACUAAGCCAUGCGAGUCAUUGUAGCAAUACAAGGCAUACGGCUCAGUAACGCGUAGUCAACCUAACCUAUGGACGGGAAUAACCUCGGGAAACUGAGAAUAAUGCCCGAUAGAACAUUAUGCCUGGAAUGGUUUAUGUUCCAAAUGAUUUAUCGCCGUAGGAUGGGACUGCGGCCUAUCAGUUUGUUGGUGAGGUAAUGGCCCACCAAGACUAUUACAGGUACGGGCUCUGAGAGGAGUAGCCCGGAGAUGGGUACUGAGACACGGACCCAGGCCCUAUGGGGCGCAGCAGGCGAGAAAACUUUGCAAUGUGCGAAAGCACGACAAGGUUAAUCCGAGUGGUUUCUGCUAAAGAAACCUUUUGUCAGUCCUAGAAACACUGAAGGGUAAGGGGUGGGCAAGUUCUGGUGU